CUGGGGGUGGCUCAGGGGUAGAGUGCGCAUCUAGCAUGCGCGAGACUGUGGGUUCAAUCUUCAGCACCACAUA
This 73-nucleotide transfer RNA is filed under the name Marmota monax (woodchuck). Its description in RNAcentral is "tRNA.Ala". The record is from RNAcentral. Lineage: Eukaryota; Metazoa; Chordata; Mammalia; Rodentia; Sciuridae.